CCUGUCUCGCAGGGGUCAGGGUCGGGGCUGGGUUGUACUGGGAAGGGCCAGCUCCCCAAGCUUCACCACUUCCCCUGAGACUUGGCAAGCCUGGGAUGUGAGACAUUGAGUAGAGAGGAACUGAUGGCUGCUGUGCCCGGCAAGAAAGCAGGGACAGCGACUCUCCCAUGUCCUCUCUUCUGCAGGUUCAGGGAGGCCGCCUGGCCAGCAGGGAGGCUGGAGCAGGCAGGCACCACUUCUGGUGACCUCGGCAAGCUCCCGGACCCCUGAGCCUUGGUCUCCUGCUUGCAGAGCGAGGACAGGAAGUGCACCCAUUUUGAAGGAUAUCACGAGGACUAGGUGAAAAAACACUUCCACGGUGCCGGUGCUUGGUCAGCGCUCAAGAAACUUUUUUCAAAAAGUAGGUGUUUUUGCCUCUGUUUGAGGAGUAGACUGAGGCUUAGAGAGGGAAAGCACCUGGUUCAAGAGGCUUCAAAAGAAGCAAAAAGGAGGUAGCGGAAGAGGCCCUUCCAAGGAGGACAAUGGGAAGAUCAGCUCUUGUUGGUCACCAGCCACGUCUCAGCAGACCUGCCAGACGCAGAUUCCAGCAUCUGCAGAGCCCGUCCUGGGCAUGGUUGCUGAGCCAGGUACCUGAAGGGCCCUGUCCAGUGUCACUGGCACCGCUCUGUACAGAAGCUACACGUGGCCCCCGUUCAGCC
This 698-nucleotide long non-coding RNA is filed under the name Homo sapiens (human). RNAcentral's name for it is "HSALNT0278490". The record is from RNAcentral. Lineage: Eukaryota; Metazoa; Chordata; Mammalia; Primates; Hominidae.